RNAcentral lists this ribosomal RNA (441 nucleotides) under uncultured Candidatus Poseidoniales archaeon. RNAcentral's name for it is "bacterial SSU rRNA". It matches the Rfam family "Archaeal small subunit ribosomal RNA", at positions 14 to 460 of the family's 1478-position model. The record is from RNAcentral. Lineage: Archaea; Methanobacteriati; Thermoplasmatota; Candidatus Poseidoniia; Candidatus Poseidoniales.
CUGCCAGAGGCGACCGCUUUUGGAGUUCGAUUAAGCCAUGCGAGUAGAAUGAAAUUAGAUUCAUUGCAAACUGCUCAGUAACACGUGGAUAACCUGCCCUAUGCUCUGGGAUAACCUCGGGAAACUGAGAAUAAUACCGGAUAGAUCACAACGCCUGGAACGGUGUGUGGUUGGAAGGUUACGGCAUAGGAUGGGUCUGCGGCGUAUCAGGUCGUAGGGGGUGUAAUGGACCCCCUAGCCAUCGACGCGUACGGGUGUUGGGAGACAUAGCCCGGAGACGGAUUCUGAGACACGAAUCCGGACCCUACGGGGUGCAGCAGGCGCGAAAACUUCACACUGCAGGAAACUGUGAUGAGGGAACUCUAAGUGGAUGCACAUAGUGUAUCUCUUUUCUUUACUAUUAAUCGGUAUUGGAAUAAGGGCUGGGAAAGACCGGUGCCA